This 434-nucleotide ribosomal RNA is filed under the name uncultured bacterium. RNAcentral describes it as "partial 16S ribosomal RNA". It matches the Rfam family "Bacterial small subunit ribosomal RNA", at positions 29 to 507 of the family's 1533-position model. The record is from RNAcentral.
AGCGAACGCUGGCGGCAGGCCUAACACAUGCAAGUCGAACGAACCUUUCGGGGUUAGUGGCGGACGGGUGAGUAACACGUGGGAACGUGCCUUUAGGUUCGGAAUAACUCAGGGAAACUUGUGCUAAUACCGAAUGUGCCCUUCGGGGGAAAGAUUAAUCGCCUUUAGAGCGGCCCGCGUCUGAUUAGCUAGUUGGUUGAGGUAAUGGCUCACCAAGGCGACGAUCAGUAGCUGGUCUGUGAGGAUGAUCAGCCACAUUGGGACUGAGACACGGCCCAAACUCCUACGGGAGGCAGCAGUGGGGAAUCUUGCGCAAUGGGCGAAAGCCUGACGCAGCCAUGCCGCGUGAAUGAUGAAGGUCUUAGGAUUGUAAAAUUCUUUCACCGGGGACGAUAAUGACGGUACCCGGAGAAGAAGCCCCGGCUAACUUCGUG